Molecule: long non-coding RNA, 1623 nt
Filed under: Durio zibethinus
Lineage: Eukaryota; Viridiplantae; Streptophyta; Magnoliopsida; Malvales; Malvaceae
Description: long non-coding RNA (DZIB_LNC001712)
Source: RNAcentral
AGAAUUUGAACUUUGGAGGACCUGAACCAGCCGCUGGUGGGCUAUCCUUCUCCCUCUCAUCCUUUGUAGUAGUACUACAAUUAAAAAUAAUGAAAAUUUAUUCAAUCAAUGUCAGAGGCUGCUCAAUAUUGAUGAUAAAAAUGAACAUUCAGGAAGAUUAUAUGACUAAUUACAUGUUUCUCCAUAUUCCUAUAUUGGUGCUGAUGAAUCGAAGCCCUUGGUUCAUAGAGAAAUCAUGUCGCUUAGCCAUACCGUCUUGAUGUUGGAAACCUGGAGAGAUAUUGCCCGACUUAUAUUUGUAAGAAUGAAGUAGCGAUUCAAUGCAAUUUUGCAGCUUGUAAGAAGCAAAGCAACCUCUUCCAAACAUUGUCACCAAUUUUUUUCACACCAAUCCUAUUGAUAAAUGGCCAUUUAUAUGCUUCGUUCCAGGUUUUUAAGCAUCGCAAGCCCUUAGCAUCUUCUUCAUGACAUUUUCUCGUGGGAGUAGUUUCUUGCCAAUUUAUUAAAAUGGAAAAAAACGAAAGAGUGUUUCAGCACGCCAAGGGAUGAGAUGUUCAACUCAGGUUUGGCUUUGCACCAGGAAGAAAGUAAGCCUCUGACCUGUUCCUUGCAAGUUAAAACUGAUUCAACCAAGCUUAAAGGCAACCCAAAUAUUGCUUCUUGAACAUUGUUACUUCCACGAUUGAGCAAAAGCACGACAUUGCUAAGCAUGUGGGUUGUUCCUUCUAAGUAAAACACUUGCUAAUUAAGUAUUCAUGUAAAGUUUUUGAGAUUUGUGUUGUUAAAAACUCUUUUUGCUUACGUUUCGUUUGACUACGAAUAAUGAUUAUAUGAUUUACAAAAUGUGAUAAACACUACUGACUAUAUCAUUCUUAUCUUUAAAAAUGCCAUUCUUGUCAAAUUUGAAGAUGAUGCAUAUAAUUUUCAGCAAAAAAUAAGACGAUGCAGCAUGUAUAAUUGGUCAGGAAAUUAUAAAAAUUUGAAAUAAUUUAGUUAAUGGAUUAGCGAUAUAGCAUACCAAUAAGUUUCUAUGUAGCCGAAAUAAUUAUUGUUCUGAAUUACUUAAAAUGAUUUUUGGUAAGCAAAUUUAGCCUUAAUAGACCAUUGCAUUAGCCCAAGUUUUGUUCAGAAAAUAAUUUCUUCAUGCUUCAUUCGGAUGAUCGGUAUAUUUAGCGAUCCAUCACUAUGAUCUGAGAUUGAACCAUGAACUCUCUCGACAUGUUGAUGUUACAAAUGUUGGGCUUAGCUUUUAGACAAUUUGCUAAUUACUAGGAAAGUGUUAGGCCCAUUUAUAUCUUGCUGUUGUCUCAUUAUAUAACCUUCUUAUGUAUAUUUUUUAAAAUUUUAAUGUACAUCGUAUCAAUAGACAAUAUGGCAUUUGACAUAGUAUCAAAUAGAAAAAUUCUUCCAAUCAAGGAAUAUAUAACACUAGCAAUUGCAUUGACUAAAGUCUUCUAGAUAGAUUUUACUUCACUGCAGCCGAUGAACAUUGAACAAAGUUUUAAGAGUAGUAUUCUGCAGGCUUGCAACUAUAUGCCAAAAUGUCAUGAUCUUGCUCGAAUUGACGCAUGUUGCUUGGUUCCAAGGUUACCCAUGCUUCAAUUCCACUAUCAGACUUGGUGU